AUUGAACGCUGGCGGAAUGCUUUACACAUGCAAGUCGAACGGCAGCACGGACUUCGGUCUGGUGGCGAGUGGCGAGCGGGUGAGUAAUACAUCGGAACGUGUCCAAUCGUGGGGGAUAACGUAGCGAAAGCUACGCUAAUACCGCAUACGAUCUAAGGAUGAAAGCGGGGGAUCGCAAGACCUCGCGCGAUUGGAGCGGCCGAUGGCAGAUUAGGUAGUUGGUAGGGUAAAGGCCUACCAAGCCGACGAUCUGUAGCUGGUCUGAGAGGAUGAUCAGCCACACUGGGACUGAGACACGGCCCAGACUCCUACGGGAGGCAGCAGUGGGGAAUUUUGGACAAUGGACGCAAGUCUGAUCCAGCCAUUCCGCGUGCAGGAUGAAGGCCCUCGGGUUGUAAACUGCUUUUGUACAGAACGAAAAGGCUCUGGUUAAUACCUAGGGCUCAUGACGGUACUGUAAGAAUAAGCACCGGCUAACUACGUGCCAGCAGCCGCAGUAA
RNAcentral lists this ribosomal RNA (500 nucleotides) under uncultured bacterium. RNAcentral describes it as "partial 16S ribosomal RNA". It matches the Rfam family "Bacterial small subunit ribosomal RNA", at positions 30 to 523 of the family's 1533-position model. The record is from RNAcentral.